This 266-nucleotide ribosomal RNA is filed under the name Salmonella enterica subsp. enterica serovar Chester. Its description in RNAcentral is "partial 23S ribosomal RNA". It matches the Rfam family "Bacterial large subunit ribosomal RNA", at positions 1133 to 1397 of the family's 2925-position model. Lineage: Bacteria; Pseudomonadati; Pseudomonadota; Gammaproteobacteria; Enterobacterales; Enterobacteriaceae. The record is from RNAcentral.
CGUAAUAGCUCACUGGUCGAGUCGGCCUGCGCGGAAGAUGUAACGGGGCUAAACCAUGCACCGAAGCUGCGGCAGCGACGCUGAUGCGUUGUUGGGUAGGGGAGCGUUCUGUAAGCCUGUGAAGGUGUGUCGUGAGGCAUGCUGGAGGUAUCAGAAGUGCGAAUGCUGACAUAAGUAACGAUAAAGCGGGUGAAAAGCCCGCUCGCCGGAAGACCAAGGGUUCCUGUCCAACGUUAAUCGGGGCAGGGUGAGUCGACCCCUAAGGC